RNAcentral lists this ribosomal RNA (936 nucleotides) under Triticum aestivum (bread wheat). Its description in RNAcentral is "partial small subunit ribosomal RNA". The record is from RNAcentral. Lineage: Eukaryota; Viridiplantae; Streptophyta; Magnoliopsida; Poales; Poaceae.
AUGCGGUGCCUCGUCGCGCUCCCGGCGGUCGCCGUCCCCAGCCGCGGCUCACAUCCUAACCUCAAACCCCGCCGCAGAAGCACUCUAGUAGCUAUCCUUGGGAGAUGCCGCUGCGGCCGCCGCCACCUCCUUGGUGCAUCCUCUGCCGCCGGCCUCCUCCAUCUCGUCAACCCCCCGUGCCUCGCCGCCCCAGCCAUCGACCCCGCCGUGAUGCUUGAACGGGUGCACCCAGCGAGGCCUGGCUGGUACGAGAAGCUUUACGCGACGGCCAUGGACAAGGGCAUGCAGUCUUAUGAAGCCGAGAUUGCGCAGUAUAAAUCGAAUCUCUUCUCCCAAUUGUCAGUUGCGGGGGAGAACAUUCUGGAGCUUGGCGUUGGAACAGGCCCCAACUUAAAGUACUAUGCAAGUGCUGAUGGUGUAAAUGUAACUGGGGUAGAUCCUAACAUGUACAUGGAGGAGUAUUCUAGAGCAGCAGCAAAUUCUGCCGGGCUUCCGCAAUCAAAUUUCACUUUCAGAAGAGGGGUCGCCGAAGCUUUGCCAGCAGAGGAUGAUUCCAUGGAUGCAGUUAUUGGUACAUUGGUGCUGUGUUCGGUAAAGGACACUGAUAUGGCAUUAAGAGAAAUAAAGAGAGUCCUAAAGCCCGGUGGUCUCUACCUAUUCAUUGAGCAUGUUGCUGCAGCAGACAUAUGUCCCUGUGCUGCUGUGCAUUGCUUGAUUUCCUGCUCAUUUUGUCCGCUCGUAGAUGGUUCCUUCCUCCAGUUCGUGCAAGGUGCCCUUGAUCCUCUGCAGCAAUUUGUCGCUGACGGGUGCCACCUCACCAGGAAAACAGCUGAAAACAUCAAGGAAGCCGGGUUCUCGAGCUUGAGCCUGAACGCGGUGCGCCUGUCAUCUGCAUAUAUCGUUAGCCCCCAUGUUUAUGGUGUAGCCUAUAAAUGA